GAUGAACGCUGGCGGCGUGCCUAAUACAUGCCAGUCGAGCGAACAGACGAGGAGCUUGCUCCUCUGACGUUAGCGGCGGACGGGUGAGUAACACGUGGAUAACAUACCUAUAAGACUGGGAUAACUUCGGGAAACCGGAGCUAAUACCGGAUAAUAUAUUGAACCGCAUGGUUCAAUAGUGAAAGACGGUUUUGCUGUCACUUAUAGAUGGAUCCGCGCCGCAUUAGCUAGUUGGUAAGGUAACGGCUUACCAAGGCAACGAUGCGUAGCCGACCUGAGAGGGUGAUCGGCCACACUGGAACUGAGACACGGUCCAGACUCCUACGGGAGGCAGCAGUAGGGAAUCUUCCGCAAUGGGCGAAAGCCUGACGGAGCAACGCCGCGUGAGUGAUGAAGGUCUUCGGAUCGUAAAACUCUGUUAUUAGGGAAGAACAAAUGUGUAAGUAACUAUGCACGUCUUGACGGUACCUAAUCAGAAAGCCACGGCUAACUACGUG
This 497-nucleotide ribosomal RNA is filed under the name uncultured bacterium. RNAcentral's name for it is "partial 16S ribosomal RNA". It matches the Rfam family "Bacterial small subunit ribosomal RNA", at positions 28 to 507 of the family's 1533-position model. The record is from RNAcentral.